RNAcentral lists this ribosomal RNA (848 nucleotides) under uncultured eukaryote. Its description in RNAcentral is "SSU rRNA". It matches the Rfam family "Eukaryotic small subunit ribosomal RNA", at positions 582 to 1455 of the family's 1831-position model. The record is from RNAcentral.
AUUCCAGCUCCAAUAGCGUAUAUUAAAGUUGUUGCGGUAAAAAAGCUCGUAGUUGGAUUUCUGUUGAAGACGUCCGGUCCAUACCACGUAUGCGCAUCUGGCUCGGCUUCGGCAUCCUCUCGAAAGACGUUUCUGCGCUUGAUUGCGUGGAGCGGAUCUCGGGACUUUUACUUUGAGGAAAUUAGAGUGUUCACGGCAGGCUAUCGCCAGAAUACAUUAGCAUGGAAUAAUACUAUAGGAUCUCGGUUCUAUUUUGUUGGUUUCUAGAAUUGAGAUAAUGAUUAAUAGGGACAAUUGGGGGCAUUCGUAUCAACACGUUAGAGGUGAAAUUCUUGGAUCGUGUUGCGACGAACUACUGCGAAAGCAUUUGCCAAGGAUGUUUUCAUUGAUCAAGAACGAAAGUAAGGGGAUCGAAGACGAUUAGGUACCGUCGUAGUCUUUACCAUAAACUAUGCCAACUAGAGAUGGGACAUCGUUCACUUAAGACUUGUUCCGCACCUUAUGAGAUAUCAAAGUCUUUGGGUUCCGGGGGGAGUAUGGUCGCAAGUCUGAAACUUAAAGGAAUUGACGGAAGGGCACCACCAGGAGUGGAGCCUGCGGCUUAAUUUGACUCAACACGGGGAAACUCACCAGGUCCAGACAUAAUAAGGAUUGACAGAUUGAUAGCUCUUUCUUGAUUUUAUGGGUGGUGGUGCAUGGCCGUUCUUAGUUCGUGGAGUGAUUUGUCUGCUUAAUUGCGUUAACGAACGAGACCUUAACCUGCUAAAUAGGAGCGCCUAUCUCCGGAUAAGCGCCUUUCUUCUUAGAGGGACUUUAUGCGUUUCAGCAUGAGGAAGUUUGAGGCUAAA